This 62-nucleotide transfer RNA is filed under the name Petaurus breviceps (sugar glider). RNAcentral describes it as "tRNA-Thr". It matches the Rfam family "tRNA". Rfam says of the family: Transfer RNA (tRNA) molecules are approximately 80 nucleotides in length. Their secondary structure includes four short double-helical elements and three loops (D, anti-codon, and T loops). The record is from RNAcentral. Lineage: Eukaryota; Metazoa; Chordata; Mammalia; Diprotodontia; Petauridae.
UAAUUUAACCAAAAUACUGGCCUUGUAAGCCAGCAACGAAGGAAAAUACCCUUCCUAGGACA